This is a long non-coding RNA of Oncorhynchus tshawytscha (Chinook salmon), 904 nucleotides long. NCBI's taxonomy places the organism in Eukaryota, Metazoa, Chordata, Actinopteri, Salmoniformes, Salmonidae. The record is from Ensembl.
GGAAGACACAACGCCAAAACACGGUCCCUGUAACUGACAAGUCUUUAUUAUUAGUCAUAUUAUAGACAUGGGGUUUCUCUCUGUACAUCGUAUCAAUCAGCCUCCCAAAGCAAUGUGCAUAUUAGGUUUACAGGUCAGGCCAAUAUUCUACUCUGCAUCUCAAGGUGUGAGGCUUCUAGCUGAUACAAUUCUCAGUGAUAGAACGUCUCUAUAGAAGUAAAGGAGAGAAUUCUAGAAUUCUCAGUGAUAGAACGUCUCUAUAGAAGUAAAGGAGAGAAUUCUCAAAGUCUCAGUGAUAGAACGUCUCUAUAGAAGUAAAGGAGAGAAUUCUCACUGAUAGAAUUCUAGAACUCUCAGUGAUAGAACUCUAGAACGCUCAGCGAUAGAACGUCUCUAUAGAAGUAAAGGAGAGACUUCUAGCUGAUAGAACUCUAGAACUCUCAGUGAUAGAACUCUAGAACGCUCAGCGAUAGAACGUCUCUAUAGAAGUAAAGGAGAGACUUCUAGCUGAUAGAACUCUAGAACUCUCAGUGAUAGAACUCUAGAACGCUCAGCGAUAGAACGUCUCUAUAGAAGCAGCAGUAAAUCUAACCUCCUGCCUAUAGCUGUCCCCUGUGGCUGGUUGGUUGGCUAGUAGGUAGAAAAGGUGAUGGCACACAUGUUUUUUAGGAAUACCGUGACCCCCUGGCUGCGCUGUGGCACCGUAGUUCCUACGGAGGGCAAUCACUGUCUAUGAGUCCCUGGUCAUCAGUAGUGCAGUAACAUAGGAGACAGGUCUGGAACACUGCCCAGGUCUCCACUGUGGACUGGCCUUUAGAUAUAAACAAACCAACCCCGAAUGAUCAUGGAAGGCUGGAUAACACUAUUGCAUAGUCUCUUUGAGCACCCUACUCCCCCAUUACCC